UACGGAAGGUGCAAGCGUUAUCCGGAUUCACUGGGUUUAAAGGGUGCGUAGGCGGAUAGGUAAGUCAGAGGUGAAAUCCUGGAGCUCAACUCCAGAACUGCCAUUGAUACUAUCUAUCUUGAAUAUUGUGGAGGUAAGCGGAAUAUGUCAUGUAGCGGUGAAAUGCUUAGAUAUGACAUAGAACACCCAUUGCGAAGGCAGCUUACUACGCAUAUAUUGACGCUGAGGCACGAAAGCGUGGGGAUCAAACAGGAUUAGAUACCCUGGUAGUCCACGCCCUAAACGAUGGAUACUCGACAUACGCGAUACACUGUGUGUGUCUGAGCGAAAGCAUUAAGUAUCCCACCUGGGAAGUACGUUCGCAAGAAUGAAACUCAAAGGAAUUGGCGGGGGUCCGCACAAGCGGUGGAGUAUGUGGUUUAAUUCGAUGAUACGCGAGGAACCUUACCUGGGCUAGAAUGCUGGGAGACCGCUAGUGAAAGCUAGUUUUGUAGCAAUACACUGCCAGUAAGGUGCUGCAUGGCCGUUGUCAGCUCGUGCCGUGAGGUGUUGGGUUAAGUCCCGCAACGAGCGCAACCCCUAUCUUUAGUUGCCAACAGGUAAUGCUGGGAACUCUAAAGAAACUGCCGCCGUAAGGUGUGAGGAAGGAGGGGAUGAUGUCAGGUCAUCAUGGCCUUUAUGCCCAGGUCUUCACACGUACUACAAUGGGGAAGACAAAGGGCUGCAACAUAGCGAUACGAAGCCAAUCCCAAAAACUUCCUCUCAGUUCAGAUUGCAGGUUGCAACUCGCCUGCAUGAAGCUGGAAUCGCUAGUAAUCGUAUAUCAGCAAUGAUACGGUGAAUACGUUCCCGGACCU
This 857-nucleotide ribosomal RNA is filed under the name uncultured bacterium. RNAcentral's name for it is "SSU rRNA". It matches the Rfam family "Bacterial small subunit ribosomal RNA", at positions 524 to 1381 of the family's 1533-position model. The record is from RNAcentral.